This 627-nucleotide ribosomal RNA is filed under the name Triticum aestivum (bread wheat). Its description in RNAcentral is "partial small subunit ribosomal RNA". Lineage: Eukaryota; Viridiplantae; Streptophyta; Magnoliopsida; Poales; Poaceae. The record is from RNAcentral.
AUGGUGCUGGAUGGUAAUGCUUGGAAUGAAACCCUCAUCAGGCAAAUCUUUCAUACUUUUGACAUAGAUGAGAUAUGCAAACUAAGUAUUCCAGCAGCGCGGGUGGAGGAUUGUAUCGCAUGGCACUAUGAAAAGAGUGGUGUCUUCUCUGUUAGGAGCGCGUACAGGCUCGCGGCUGCCACCCAGGACCUGGCAGCACAAUCCCCCUCGAGCUCUACGAGCGACCCAAAUGACAGGAGCAUUUGGGAUCUUAUUUGGAAGGCAAAAGUCCCUGGCAAGGUACGGAUAUUUGCUUGGAGAGUGGCCACCAGUACCCUAGCUACCAAGAAGAACAAAUGGAGGAGAACCUUGGAAACAAAUGCUACAUGCAGCAUAUGUGGCAAUGGCGAGGAGGACGAACACCAUGCAGUAAUUACCUGCACUAAGAGUCGGGCACUACAAGCAGAAAUGAGAAAAUUAUGGGCUUUAUCGGCUGAGAACAAGCUUAGAUAUACGGGGGAUGAUUGGCUACAAGUUGUUCUCGACAUAGAAAACGAGGAGGUUUGAGCUAAUCUCCUCCUGCUAUUAUGGCACUGCUGGCAUCUCAGGGAGGAUUGUGUGCGCAAUCAUGGCAAGGAAUCCAUCUAG